RNAcentral lists this non-coding RNA (29 nucleotides) under Cricetulus griseus (Chinese hamster). The record is from RNAcentral. Lineage: Eukaryota; Metazoa; Chordata; Mammalia; Rodentia; Cricetidae.
GUGAGUGGAGCCUGUUCCCGUUGCCUGGG